GACUUGGUAGCCCAGUUGGUAAAGGCACAACUUUAAGUAUAGUGUCUUAGCUUCUAGCUAAGUUCUCUAGUUCAAAUCCUGCCCAGGUUG
This is a non-coding RNA of Puccinia sorghi, 90 nucleotides long. NCBI's taxonomy places the organism in Eukaryota, Fungi, Basidiomycota, Pucciniomycetes, Pucciniales, Pucciniaceae. The record is from the annotation of a GenBank genome assembly.